Long non-coding RNA from Cyprinus carpio carpio, 4109 nucleotides. Lineage: Eukaryota; Metazoa; Chordata; Actinopteri; Cypriniformes; Cyprinidae. The record is from Ensembl.
AUGUUUAACUCUGGAAAAUCCGAGCUGACCGCCAUCUUUUUUCCUCGGAGCCGAGCCGUCCAAGCAUCAAACCAAAGGAAGAGAGCAGCAGCUUUGCAGGGACUGCCAUGGUACAUGAAGGAAAAUCCUUCUACAUUGAUGAAGAGAUGUGAGGUAAGCAGCAAAAUGUUGUUUAAUGAUACAAAAACUAGUUCACAAUGGGCAUGGUUACACAUCAUUUCAGGCAUCCUCUGUGUGGAUACACUAUAUACAGUAGGUGGACAUCCAAAACGUCAUUUCUACCGCCGCUCGUACCGCCGCCGCGGCGUCUGCAAAGUGCAUUUGCAGCUUUUGACCGCUGAGUGGCGCUUUAAUCACAGGUUUUCAAACAAGCGCAUCAAAGCACAUUUUCGCAAAUAGACGUCAGCUUUGCCUCACCGAAGUGUUAUAUUUGAUUGCAGUCGGGGAAAAUGAAAGAAAAAAUAUUUAAUAUUCACAGAUGAAAGUUUAGUCCUUAUGAAGAUAUGUGCGUUUCUUAGAACGAAUUCAAGCAGGAUAAAUGUCUAAAAGCCUAUGAGCCUGUGCUUAUAUUUUCUCUACACCAUAUUUUAGAUUAGACACAUUUAAAUAGUGUGCAGUAUUAUUUAUAUAAUAUGAAUUAUGUGUUAUAUUAUUAAAAAGAAAAUGUGGUUUACUUUGCAUCGGAGCAUUAAAAGUGAUAGCCUAUUGUGAGCUAGGCUUGCGUGUUUUAUAAAUUAUUUUCUUUAUUUUAGUAAAACGUAAGGCACUGUAUCAUUUCGCUCCCAUUAUUUAGGCCUAAUUAAAACAAGAAACGAAUAAAUUAAACCUGCACGAUUUAACUAAAUCAUUGCAACUCUAAAGAAUGGAUGGAUUAAUAAAAACGUCCUCACUUAUCAACAAAGUGCACACGAUGUAGAGCUUCAUUAAUUGACAACUUCAGUGAUUUUAAAUGGAGUCUUCUUUGCUUGCUUUCAUAUAAUUUAAGUAAAGUAAAAAUAAAUAAAUAAAAUAAAUAAAUAAAUUGCAGCCGCAUUUAAAUGCAGGUUUGUAUAAUAUUCCGUAAAAUAUCAGUGCAAGAUUUGCUCUGCAUGAUGCUGAGUGCACGCAGCAUUUAUUCUUAUUUGUCUACAUAUUUUAUCUUCAUUACAAAUCUUGUUUGGUUUUAUUUUGGAUAAUUGCAUGUAAAAAAUUAUUUACUUUGCGAUGCAUAUGCAAAAUGUGAAUUAUUAUUUAUAUUCAAGUGUUUGUGCAAAAAUUAUUAAUGUGCAUGCGUGACAGGGAGGCGCCCUCUCGAUCACGUAAUUUUUUUCCUAAUAAAUGAAAUAACUGAAAAUUGUGGCGUCUCACAUACAUGAGAAAUAUAUCUACAGAAAGCUUGAAAUGUCUUUUAAACGAAUCAAUUCAAAACGAAAGCAUUAUGUAAUCUGUGAAGGUUGUAUUUCUGUUUAAAGGCGCGUCCAUGUGGAGAGAGUCAGCACUGUGAAUUUCAUCUUGCAGCCGACAAGAAAACAUUUGUUUAUUAAUAAAUAAUUAAAAUGUCUCCUUUUUCAUAAUUAUUAGGCUACUUCUGCCUGUGCUUUGUGACGAACUUAAUGCAUGUUCUUGAGCGUGGAAUAUAUUAAGGCUGGAUUAUAGUUGUAAAUUUAAUAUAAAUUUGCGAUUAGUUGAAUAAUGACAAAUGAACGACUAGUAACUAGAAAAAUCUUACGUGGGAAGCAGACCUAUUAAAUACCAUCUAGACAUCUCUGUUAAAGUUUUUAAAGAAUUUUAUACGCGUUUGCAUAAAUUCUUCCUUCAGAACGGUCUGUAAUGGAGAGAUGCCUUAACACUGAUUUUUCCUCUGAAACACAAAAACGAAAAUUGAUAAAUAAAAUAAAAUAAAAUAAAUAUUUUAUGUUUUGAGAAUGAUUGGGCUCAACCCUCCCCGCGCGUUUGAGACCCGCUGCCGAGCCGAGCAGAGUAUGAGCGGAGCGGAGUGAUUCUGACUGAAGAGGAGCGGAUUUUUUAAAAGUCAGGAGCGUCGUGGUUUUCACUCGCUCCAGCACCGCUCCAUCACGAAUACAAUUCAUGCCAACACCCCGUAAUAUAACUGCAUAUUUAGCAAGAAUUCACAUGAUAAACAUAUUUAGCUAUAGCUUGAUACACAUAAUCUCUCCGAUCAGAAGACUAUAAUGACGACAAUAGUCGAGCGGGAUGUUACAGGCUAGUUCUCAAGGAAUUUGUCUUCCUUUUACUGAUUAUUUUCGGGUUAAAGCAUGAUUUAAACAGAUACAACACAUUCACACGUAAUCGCUGUCGCAAUAAUGCAUUCAAACAAAUGUAAUCUUACAGUAGGCUACUUCAAUGAGCAGAAAUCUGUAACAAAUGCAUUGAUCUGUAGAUAAAAUAACUGACGAAAAUGUAAACUGUUAUUUUCAUCACAAACAAAAUUUGCACAGCAGAAAGCAGCAAUUAUACCUUUUAAUGCUGACAACAAUGUUAUUGUUGUUUUACGUCUUCCUUUCAUUUUACAAUUACAUUCAGUUCGCAAUCCGUCCCUUUGCGCCACCUGGCGGUAGUUUCGCGAAUGAUUUUAACACGCGACUGAUUAGCAGUUGCGGCGGCAUUACUCAUUUUGGUUGUCUACCAUCUGUAGCAAAACAUGUCUAAAGCACAGGCACCUUUUUGUUUGUUUUUGCAUGAAGCCAACAGAUCCUGGAGAGGACUUCAUCAGAGGAAUGGUGAUUGGAAUCCUUUUGGUCGCUGAAGAUGUGAAAGAGCCCCUUCCAGUUUCCUACAACGAUGUUGCCAAUGUCAUUGAGGAAAAGAUUGUCAUGCAUCAUCUUGGUGAUGUACCCAACGCUUUUGUGAACCUGAUGGGCCUGCUGUACAUGCUGAACCUUGACUAUCCAAAAGACAUGAAAUAUACUUUUGAGGUGAUUCAGCGCCUGUUCAUGGGAAUCGGGUCUGAGAUGUGCACUCCCAGGGUCCACUCUCUAAAGAACAAACUGCUCAGUUAGAGGGAUGGCUCAGGAGGAUGUUUCUGCAUUUGGCCAUGAGGAAGUAUUCUAAUUUUCUUGCCAUUUGUCCACUAUGUAGUAAGAGGAAAUAAAUGUAAAGCCCUUCUGUGGGUCACAACAGUUUAUGUUUUUAUGUUCUAACAGAUGUCUAUUGCUCUCUGUGGAGGAAAUGUCUCUUGCAAACACUAAUUUGUAUUUUAUGUUGUAGAGCAAACAUGAACAGAGUGGAGAUUUUUGUAAUGUUUGAACGUGUUCAUUUUCUGGCCGACAUUUGAGCAAGUUUCUCAGAGAUACAUUAUUUGUUUUGUUUUUACAAAUCUUUCUGCAAUUUACUGCAGCAACUCUGAACAUCCACAACAAUGGACUCAGUUGAAUUCGGAGAGUUAUUUUUUUUAAUGUAUUAUAUUAUUAUUUGUGGAACAGUGUAAUUUCAGUUAGUAAGCAGCCCCAAGCAAAAGUGUGUUAGAGAGUGUAAAGGCAAAAUUUUGAACAUGUCCCAAGGAAGGUCUUUUUUUGAUCUCUCAAUUUUAAAGCAAGGCUGGUUGAAGUUGGACUUGUUGGGGUUUUAAUAAAGGUCCUUAUGAAUUGGAUUUCAUCUCUUACUUUUUAUAUAAUUUCAUCUCUUACUUUUCAGCUUUUUUUAAUGUUAAUGUUAAUAUUUAAGUUUGACUGGCCAGUUCUCAUGUAGAUUUUUUGUAGAUAUUUGCUUAAAUUUUUUAAAUCUAGCAACUCAAUUAACUUGGCAAUAGAGCAUGAGAAAAAAAAGUAAUAAUGUUGCCCUAACUUGAUAAAACAAUUUAAACCAACAUCUUUUUUAGUUCUCUUAAGUAAUGUUUUACAGUCCAUAUUACUUGAUACAGAAAGUUGAGUCAACAAAUCACAAGUUGUAUCAAUUAUGUAUUCCAUGUUUAGCCAACUUGAUUCACAGUUGUAGGAACUUGAUCAAAUAAAUUCAACCAACAUCUCUUAAAGUUAUCUCAAAUAAUAUUUUAAAGUCCAACUUACUUGAUACAGGAAGUUCAGUCAACAGACGGCAUGUUGCAUCAAUUUGUGUUUUGAAGUGUAAUAAACUUGACACUAUAAGUUGACUCAAAUUAACUCAGUCAAAGC